This 253-nucleotide ribosomal RNA is filed under the name uncultured bacterium. Its description in RNAcentral is "partial 16S ribosomal RNA". It matches the Rfam family "Bacterial small subunit ribosomal RNA", at positions 524 to 776 of the family's 1533-position model. The record is from RNAcentral.
UACGUAGGGUGCAGGCGUUAAUCGGAAUUACUGGGCGUAAAGCGUGCGCAGGCGGUUUGCUAAGACAGGUGUGAAAUCCCCGGGCUUAACCUGGGAACUGCGCUUGUAACUGGCAAGCUAGAGUGUGGCAGAGGGGGGUGGAAUUCCAGGUGUAGCAGUGAAAUGCGUAGAGAUGCGGAGGAACACCGAUGGCGAAGGCAGCCCCCUGGGCCAAUACUGACGCUCAGGCACGAAAGCGUGGGGAGCAAACAGG